RNAcentral lists this ribosomal RNA (299 nucleotides) under uncultured soil bacterium. Its description in RNAcentral is "partial 16S ribosomal RNA". It matches the Rfam family "Bacterial small subunit ribosomal RNA", at positions 26 to 356 of the family's 1533-position model. The record is from RNAcentral.
AGAACGAACGCUGGCGGCAUGCCUAAUACAUGCAAGUCGAACGAACUCUUCGGAGUUAGUGGCGCACGGGUGCGUAACGCGUGGGAAUCUGCCCCUUGGUUCGGAAUAACAGUUGGAAACGACUGCUAAUACCGGAUGAUGACGAAAGUCCAAAGAUUAUCGCCAAGGGAUGAGCCCGCGUAGGAUUAGCUAGUUGGUGAGGUAAAGGCUCACCAAGGCAACGAUCCUUAGCUGGUCUGAGAGGAUGAUCAGCCACACUGGGACUGAGACACGGCCCAGACUCCUAGGGAGCAGCAGUA